UACGUAGGGGGCAAGCGUUGUCCGGAAUUAUUGGGCGUAAAGCGCGCGCAGGCGGUUCUUUAAGUCUGGUGUAUAAGUGCGGGGCUCAACCCCGUGAGGCACUGGAAACUGGGGAACUGGAGUGCAGAAGAGGAGAGCGGAAUUCCACGUGUAGCGGUGAAAUGCGUAGAGAUGUGGAGGAACACCAGUGGCGAAGGCGGCUCUCUGGCCUGUAACUGACGCUCAGGCGCGAAAGCUAGGGGAGCAAACAGG
This 252-nucleotide ribosomal RNA is filed under the name uncultured bacterium. RNAcentral's name for it is "partial 16S ribosomal RNA". It matches the Rfam family "Bacterial small subunit ribosomal RNA", at positions 524 to 776 of the family's 1533-position model. The record is from RNAcentral.